RNAcentral lists this ribosomal RNA (773 nucleotides) under uncultured Neocallimastigales. RNAcentral describes it as "partial large subunit ribosomal RNA". It matches the Rfam family "Eukaryotic large subunit ribosomal RNA", at positions 24 to 646 of the family's 3401-position model. Lineage: Eukaryota; Fungi; Neocallimastigomycota; Neocallimastigomycetes; Neocallimastigales. The record is from RNAcentral.
GUAGUCUCGCACAGAUGCAUAUCAAUAAGCGGAGGAAAAGAAACUAACAAGGAUUCCCCUAGUAACGGCGAGUGAAGCGGGAAGAGCUCAAAUUUGAAAUCUUAAAGGGUUUCCCUUUACGAAUUGUAGUUUAAAGAAGUGUUUUCUGUUGAGGUUUUGGUAAAAGUUCUUUGGAAUAGGACAUCAUAGAGGGUGAGAAUCCCGUAUUUGACCUUUACUUUCAACUUUGUGAUACACUUUCAAAGAGUCGGAUUGUUUGGGAAUGCAGUCCAAAAUGGGUGGUAAAUUUCAUCUAAAGCUAAAUAUUGGCGAGAGACCGAUAGCGAACAAGUACCGUGAGGGAAAGAUGAGAAGAACUUUGAAAAGAGAGUUAAACAGUACGUGAAAUUGUCAAAAGGGAAGCGUUUGACACCAGUGUUGUUUUUCUGAAAAUCAAUUAAAGAACUGUUUAUGCUAAGUUGUUUAGACUUUAUCAGCUAACUGUUUAGUUUUGAGCUUUUCUUUAAUGCACUUUUCAGUUAACAAGUCAACAUCAAUUUCUUUGCUGUAAAAAAGCUUGAGGAAGGUGGCUUGAGAUUCGUCUUAAGUGUUUAUAGCCUCUUGCCUAUGCAGUCGGAGAGAUUGAGGUCUGCAGCGUAGAUCCUUCGGGGCUAAAUGCAUUUGUGCUAAGUUAUAGCAUUUUAUAGACAACUUGUUGACUAUGAUUUGUCUUGUAGCUUACUCGCUUAUGUUAUUUUACCUACGCUUAGGAUGUUGAUCUGUAGUGCGUGCGC